GGGCCCGCACAAGCGGUGGAGCAUGUGGUUUAAUUCGAAGCUACGCGAAGAACCUUACCAGGUCUUGACAUCCCGCUGACCGGUAUAGAGAUAUACCUUUCCCUUCGGGGACAGCGGUGACAGGUGGUGCAUGGUUGUCGUCAGCUCGUGUCGUGAGAUGUUGGGUUAAGUCCCGUAACGAGCGCAACCCUUGAUAUUAGUUGCCAGCAUUAAGUUGGGCACUCUAAUGUGACUGCCGGUGACAAACCGGAGGAAGGUGGGGAUGACGUCAAAUCAUCAUGCCCCUUAUGACCUGGGCUACACACGUGCUACAAUGGAUGGUACAACGGGCAGCGAAACGGCGACGUGGAGCAAA
This 355-nucleotide ribosomal RNA is filed under the name uncultured bacterium. RNAcentral's name for it is "bacterial SSU rRNA". It matches the Rfam family "Bacterial small subunit ribosomal RNA", at positions 917 to 1271 of the family's 1533-position model. The record is from RNAcentral.